AGUGAACGCUGGCGGUAGGCCUAACACAUGCAAGUCGAACGGCAGCACAGUAAGAGCUUGCUCUUACGGGUGGCGAGUGGCGGACGGGUGAGGAAUACAUCGGAAUCUACUUUUUCGUGGGGGAUAACGUAGGGAAACUUACGCUAAUACCGCAUACGACCUACGGGUGAAAGCAGUGGAUCUUCGGACCUUUCGCGAUUGAAUGAGCCGAUGUCGGAUUAGCUAGUUGGCGGGGUAAAGGCCCACCAAGGCGACGAUACGUAGCUGGUCUGAGAGGAUGAUCAGCCACACUGGAACUGAGACACGGUCCAGACUCCUACGGGAGGCAGCAGUGGGGAAUAUUGGACAAUGGGCGCAAGCCUGAUCCAGCCAUACCGCGUGGGUGAAGAAGGCCUUCGGGUUGUAAAGCCCUUUUGUUGGGAAAGAAAAGCAGCAGGUUAAUACCCCGCUGUUCUGACGGUACCCAAAGAAUAAGCACCGGCUAACUUCGUG
RNAcentral lists this ribosomal RNA (492 nucleotides) under uncultured bacterium. Its description in RNAcentral is "partial 16S ribosomal RNA". It matches the Rfam family "Bacterial small subunit ribosomal RNA", at positions 29 to 507 of the family's 1533-position model. The record is from RNAcentral.